UUCUGAGCGCAUCGUGCACAAGCCGAGUACACACACCCAGCACACAAAUAAUUAAUUUGGAGCAGACUGACGCACACUCUUAAAAUAAUAACGCAUGCAAAUAAGAGUACAUCGUUCACUUCAGUGUGUAAAUGGCAUCAGUGCGCGUAACCACGCCGCGUAAAUUGGUAGGAGUGUUAAGGUGAGGGUGUGUUAGAGGCCAAGUGUUUUGGUAAACCCGCAACUUCAAUGAGCGACAAACGAGAGAAGGGCCUGGUACACAGUGCGCCUAUCGGACUAUGCCUUCCCCAACUCGGGAGGAAAACAAAGGGGAGACCGGACAGGCAGAGCACGGAGCAACGGACAGCGGCGACAGGGAGAGAGGGACAGGCGGCCGUCUCGUGUGCGCUCUGGAGAUGGAGAUGACAAACCGCAGCCUGCACGGCGACUCCAAAGUGGAUUGUGUAAACUGCGAUGGCUUGAUCAACCGAAACGGCGGGGACUCGGCAGAAGUGUCCGUACCGCUGUCACUUCCCGGGAAGCGGACAGCUCACACGGAGGGAGACGACCUCUACAGACUGCGAAACAGAAAGUUUUUAUUAGAGGAUAAAAAGCGCCUUUGCGCGUUGGCUUUGGGGACUGCUCUGCUCGGGAUACUGCUCACGAUUAUCCACGCCGAGAUAUGUCCCUUCGUUUACAAACCGGGCUCAAACAUUGCCUUAUUCAUCAACUGUUCCAUCAGCCUGUCCACUGGGUGUCUCCUGAUCCUCAUCAUAGCUUUCCAUUAUAAGGACAUUAGGCUGUUUAUCAUUGACCACAACCAGGUGGACUGGCGUAUUGCCAUGACCAGCCACAGGGUUCUCGUGAUCACUCUGGAGUUGUUGGUCUGUGUCAUCCAUCCUGUUGGCACAUACUGGGAGGUGGGAUUCCAUGCCAACUCCUCUUCCUCAGCUCCGCUCUGUGUUUCCAACCACCACCGUGAGGCCCUGAUGGAUGUGGAGCUGCUGUUAUCAGUGCUGAUGUUCCUCCGCUUGUACUUGGUGCACAGAGCAAUCCUGCUGCACAGCAAAGUGCUGCUGAGCGCCUCCUACAGGAGCAUCGGCUCGCUCAACAACAUCAACUUCACCUUCCGCUUUGUUCUCAAGAUACUAAUGAACAAAUACCCGGCGCGCACGCUGCUGGUCUUCAUCCUCUUCUUCUGGCUCACUGCGUCCUGGAUGCUUACUUUGUGUGAGAGACAAACCCAAGCAACGACAGGUCACAUGGACACAGCUAUGUGGCUCAUAGCCAUCACCUUCCUCACAGUGGGCUAUGGGGAUGUGGCACCCAACACCAGCUGUGGCAAGGCUGUGUGUCUCUUCACUGGAGUCAUGGGUGUAGCCUGCACUGCUAUGCUGGUGGCAGUCGUUACCAAGAUGCUGGCGUUGAACAAAGGAGAGAAACAUGUGCACUUCUUCAUGCUGGACAUCCAGAUCUCUAAACGGGCUUCAUCUGACACUUCAAAGAAGAUACCAGUAUUUUUGGCAUGUUUUGUCUACAAAUCAUGCAUUCUUUACGUUACUGCUAACUCUCUACGCUUUAAUAUUUUUUGAUUUUUGAAUGUACCUUCUCCUUUAAUUUCUGUAUGAAAGUCAGCUUGCCGAAACUUGAAACUUGUUUAACUUAGGUAAUCUAUCACAUGUCUGUGUUUAUUGUGGAACAUUGCGUGGUAAUGCAGCUGUGGUAGUGCAGAAUGAUUUGAAAAGUCUGUUCUGCAGUGCCAGACAACAAUAACAUAACUCAAAAAAAAAGUAAAACACUUUGCUAUGCUUUGGAAAAUGCUUGUCAGUUAUGUAAAAUAUGUCAUUUGUGUUGAAUGGGCCAAAUCAUGUAAAGGUUUGGUCGACGAAAACCACAGCAGCAUUCAACCAUUUUCUGCGGAGGAUUUAAUGAAAACAGAAUCUUUACACAAGUUCAAUUACAAUUAUUAACACAUUAAAAGCUAAAUAUAGGUCAGAUAAAUUUUUUAGGCCUUUAUUUGUAUAGGACAGCUGAAGAUGUGAAAGGGGAGAUAGAGGGGGAAUGACAUGCAGCAAAGGGCCGCAGGUCAGAGUCAAACCCGCGGCCGCUAAAUUUCUAAAUUUGAAUGUUCAAUAUAACGUGUGACAAAAGUGUGAUUUUUAUAUUUCAGCUGUAGAACCUGGAAAUAGUGGCUCAUAUUUUGUGAUAAUAUUUAUCCAAUAAUUAUAUAAACUUCCCUAUGUAAACAUUUAGUAAACAGUCGACUGCCCUCCCUUCCAUCCGAGGUAACUGCAGUGUAGCAAGACACAUAGGAAGAAUGAUAAAGCGGAUGGAGGAGCCAGGAUGGAAGCGUCACUACUUUCCGUGUCGCAUGCAUGUUUUGGUUUUCGAGUCUUAUUCGAAUGGUUCUCUUUCUUAAAUAAGAGACACCAGAGGACAGGAUAGUGUGGGAAAAGAGGAGGGAAGCGCCAACCCCUUUAUAGCAUUUUCAAGGCGUCAAACAGAGGAAAUUAUCUGAUCCCUGUCAGGAAAGAAACUUGUGUCAGCUCAAGACGGUGCAGCGAUGGGCAGGAAACUGGUUGAGCUUAUGUACGUGUGUUUGUGAGUGAGUGUUUGGAAGUGGCAUGCAAACGACUUUCUUUGUAGGCUUGAACAGGAUUCAAAUGUUUGGUUAUUGAUGGGAAGAAGGAAGUGUCUGAUAGGCUAAAUACAUAUGUAAAUGCUUACAAGGAAACACUGUCAUAAAGCCAGAAAAGUGUCUUAGGACUAUACAUGAAUGUGUUAUGAUUAAUAGAGUUCCUAGAAUCAGCAUUUGUUUUGUGUGCAGUGCUACAGAUUUUCACCAAACUGUAAAGCAGUGUCUGACUGCAGAAGGUGCACUGCUUUGGAGGAUACAACCAUUUCCUUUCUCUGGUGGCUGCAUCCUGUCACUUGGUUCAUCUUUAUGUUGGUUGUUCUGGCAUGUGUGUGUGUGUGUGUGUUUGUGCUUGUGUGUGCAUCCUUCUGAGCUAUCUGGCGCAAGGGGGAACAAGGGAAGACAUCUGGAUGCAGACAGUGACAGCCUCUAUUAAUAACCUUCACAACAGGGCCAGAGUGACAUCAUCACUGGCACUUACAGUGAUUUGUGCAGGAAGACAAACAGACAUGAAUAGAAUCAAAGAGAAAGGUGCAAAAAGGUGAUACCGGACAAUGUCUAAACCUCACUUCUAGUCUGUGUGGCCUCUUCUUCAAAUUCUUGUAUAUAAGCAUAUCCUUCAUAGUUCUUCUGUUGUAUCUUUAAUCAGUACCAUAGAGCAAAAUAGUUCAAGAGAAACGACUAUCUGGAUUCAAUCAUCUGCCUUGGAUGACUCAUACUUUUACUAAUGAUUGAUAUGAAGCAAAUUCUGUCUAAGGAACAUGAUAAGCGCUGUGUUUUUUGUCAGUCAAGCUUGCAAGCUAAUUAACUGACUUUAUCUUGAUGGUCUUAUUACCACGUUUGUGCCCCUGCAACCUCCAUGGUUUUUAUCUGUCAAUUUGGAUGCUUCUCUCUCUUCACCAGAUCCGCCACGCUGCUGCUAAUGUGCUCAGAGAGUGCUGGCUUCUGCACCGCACAAACCUCACAAAGGGUAACCGCGGUGAGCACCGAAAACACCAGAGAUGCCUUCUGGAAGCCAUCAGAGUAUUUCGGCAUUUACGCC
Molecule: RNA transcript, 3656 nt
Organism: Perca fluviatilis (European perch)
Lineage: Eukaryota; Metazoa; Chordata; Actinopteri; Perciformes; Percidae
Gene: kcnn4
Gene name: potassium intermediate/small conductance calcium-activated channel, subfamily N, member 4
Exons: 7
Source: RefSeq, a predicted model, not a curated record